Molecule: ribosomal RNA, 605 nt
Filed under: uncultured bacterium
Lineage: Bacteria
Description: bacterial SSU rRNA
Rfam family: Bacterial small subunit ribosomal RNA
Source: RNAcentral
AGAGUUUGAUCCUGGCUCGCGCGAACGUUGGCGGCGCGCCUAACACAUGCAAGUCGUGGGGCAGCAGGCUACUACCUUCGGGUAGUAGUGCUGGCGACCGGCAAACGGGUGAGUAACACGUAGCUUACCUACCCCAGGGUUGGGGAUAACCUCCCGAAAGGGUGGCUAAUACCCAAUAAUGAGGAAACUCCGAAGCCGCAAGGCGCCCUGGGAUGGGGCUGCGUCCCAUCAGGUAGUUGGUGAGGUAACGGCUCACCAAGCCUACGACGGGUAACCGGUCUGAGAGGAUGACCGGUCACAGUGGGACUGAGACACGGCCCGCACCCCUACGGGGGGCAGCAGUGGGGAAUAUUGGGCAAUGGCCGAAAGGCUGACCCAGCGACGCCGCGUGGCGGAUGAAGCCCUUCGGGGUGUAAACGCCUUUUCUUGGGGAAGACAAUGACGGUACCCAAGGAAAAAGGGACGGCUAACUACGUGCCAGCAGCCGCGGUAAUACGUAGGUCCCGAACGUUGCGCGAAAUUACUGGGCGUAAAGGGUCCGUAGGCGGUCUAUCAAGUGGAAGGUGAAAUCCCAUGGCUCAACCAUGGAACUGCCUUCCAAACUG